AUCACAUACAUGAAAAGUUCUGGGCACAAAUGCUAAUUUUAUCCUCAGAAUGUUUUAGAGAAUUUUCAUUAUUACAUUUACGCUGAUAGGAGAAUAGUCUGGAGGGAGAAUAUAUGGUUUAGCAAAAAAAAAAUUGAUAACAAAGAAAUCAUGGGAAUGAAUUUGGAGUUUGCACCAAUGCCAAAUUGUGAGAUCACAUGAGAACUGUGCUAAAUAACUUGGUCACCUGUUUGAAACAAAAAUGCAUACUUGCACCAAACAGUGUCUGUGUGUGUGUGGUACACUGUCAGUGUCAUGUAACUCGCAGGUAUGUUUGUCAUAGACACUAGCUCUAAUUGAUGCUCUUACUGGCCCAUGAAAUUACUGUAGGUAGAAACUGUGUUUGUAGAAAACAAUCUGAUACAAUUGGUGCAUAUCUCUGACAACAUUCUAAAAACUGUACUUGAGCUAAAAGUAGCUAACUUUGGGUGUAUUUAGGAGUGUGAAUACCAUAGAUUAAUGACUUAAUGAGAAAGAUGGAACCUUGCUGAACUGACAUCACCGCUGAAAGUGAUUAGUAACCUAGAUUAGUGGUUCUUACACUAUUCCAACUGUGGCCAAAAACAAUUCAAGAAAAAGAGCUUACUCUCUUAUUGGAUAUUGAUAGAAUCUGGAUGAGUACCAGUCCUUGUUGAUUGACUGGAGAACCAGUGACCUUGAGCAUGACUUGAUCUAAAUGUUCUUCUUUAAAUUAAUUAGUUGAUAAAUUGGGUCAUAAAUUGGUUCUUUUGUUCAAAGCAGUUGACUAUAAAUAACACAAACAUAGCUUUACUGUAAUACUGGAUUUAGUAGAUGAAUAGGGCUACAUAAGAUUGUAGUUCCAGAGCAUGAGUAGAUAUGAUUAAUAUACUGAAGUCAGCUGAUUAUCCAGACACAUACAUAUAUGGUUGUUUGGGUAGAAUCAAUGACUAGCAUAGAACAGGAUCCGAGUUAUUGCAGUACUGGAGUAGAUAAUAACGCAGAACAUGACAAGUUCAAAUACAAGCUAAGGAAUGUUCUGUCGGCUAUUGAUGCCUAACCUUGGCAGCCUUCAUUGGCCAUUAUGGAAAAUGUACAUCACAAUUCUGGACUAUCAAGUUCAGCCAUCACUGAUUAUGGUGUACUUCAGUAUGUUUAGACUAGGCUUGACCGAGAAUAUUAGAUAAGACUGUGAUAGCCAGCAAAAUAAAUCAGGUACAUUGCUUUCCUUAACAAACAGUUGGUGAAUGAUCUAGAACAGGGGUAGGCAAGCUUUUCGCACUCCAGAUAAUCUCCCCCGAUACUUUGCCAGCAUUAUAGCUGUAAGAGCAUUAUGAGAGAUGUAGUCCACAACAUCUGGAGUGCCGAUGCUACCCCCGAUCUAGAACAUCAAACGCUCAGUUUUUGUUAACACCUGACGAUCUAGAACAUGUGGUGAAAACAUAAAUAUCCCGAUAUGAUUGCUGGAUAUUUUAGCAUUGAAAAAUCUCGAUCAUUAGAACAGGCACAUUACUUGAAUUGGUCAUAAAUGGAGUUAUGUUCAAAAGUGCGUUAUUGCUAAACUUGCCUCGCUACAAAAAAACUCCUGGUGACAUGAAUGUACUUUUGAGCACAACCCACACAGUGCCUUAAAUCGUAGCAUAGGUUUGUAAAUUAAGGGGUGUCCUCAUUAUUUUCAAUGUGUCCUUAUUCACUCCGUCUCAGAUAUAUCAGAAGUCACCUAGUUUUCUAAAGCAAGGGAUUUUAUUUUUUAUUCCUUUAUUUGUUUUGUUUUUUAUUAUUAUUUAUUUAUUUAUUUAUUUUAAAGGGUGGGUUUCGCAGCCAGGGACUACUAGGGCUAUUUUUAGCAGUUGUUGAGGUCUUCAUCUAUUAUAAUCUCACUGAAAGAGCCAAUUAUUGCGGAGUCUGUUGCUAUGACGAGCGUUGCCCCGCUCCGUCGUUGUAUGCCAUUGUGUCAUUGCUGUAUUCUCUCUACAUUAGUGUGCAAAGCAGAGAAGGACCCCACUCAUAACAUCAUUAUUCCAGUUUAAAAAUAGACAAGGAUUAUAUAUAAAAAUAUACACACACACAAACACCUAACAUAUAUGUGAGUGUAUUUAUUACACGUAUAUAUUUUAUAUUACAGUUACAACUAUUAUUUCAUUUUCUUUGUUUAGAUAAGGUCAUAAUAGCAAUGUUGUAAAAAAAGAUAUCACACGUGAGUUGAAUAUUUCUCUUUUUUCCACAUUGACAAGUCACCCCUACAACUCACUGUUUAGAAAAUAAUCCACUAAAUGCCCCAUAACAAGUCACCCACGCAACUGGCAGAACUGGUGGUGCUCUACGUAACCCUGUCAUGCCAAUCUGCUUUACAUGAUUCUCAGGAUAAUAUGAAAACAGCCAACUUUUACUGCAAGCACCCAUCAAUGGGCGCCCUUAAAUAAACCACCAUCUUUAAUGCACCUUUCACUUUGUUGGCAUUAUUAUUGCACACAUCAGAAAAGAAAGAAAACUCCAGUAUCAAAUUAAUGUUCAAUGAUAUAUAUAUAAAGUUAAAAUUAAAAUUUUUGUAACCAGCGAU
This 2557-nucleotide long non-coding RNA is filed under the name Pelobates cultripes (western spadefoot toad). The record is from RNAcentral. Lineage: Eukaryota; Metazoa; Chordata; Amphibia; Anura; Pelobatidae.